UACAGAGGGGGCGAGCGUUGUUCGGAAUUACUGGGCGUAAAGGGCGCGUAGGCGGCCCGCUAAGUCGAACGUGAAAUCCCCAGGCUCAACCUGGGAACUGCGUCCGAUACUGCGUGGCUAGAGGUAGGUAGGGGAGAUCGGAAUUCCUGGUGUAGCGGUGAAAUGCGCAGAUAUCAGGAGGAACACCGGUGGCGAAGGCGGAUCUCUGGGCCUUACCUGACGCUCAGGCACGAAAGCUAGGGGAGCGAACAGG
Molecule: ribosomal RNA, 253 nt
Filed under: uncultured bacterium
Lineage: Bacteria
Description: partial 16S ribosomal RNA
Rfam family: Bacterial small subunit ribosomal RNA
Source: RNAcentral